UACGAAGGGGGCUAGCGUUGCUCGGAAUCACUGGGCGUAAAGCGCACGUAGGCGGAUUCUUAAGUCGGGGGUGAAAGCCUGGAGCUCAACUCCAGAACUGCCUUCGAUACUGAGAGUCUUGAGUCCGGGAGAGGUGAGUGGAACUGCGAGUGUAGAGGUGAAAUUCGUAGAUAUUCGCAAGAACACCAGUGGCGAAGGCGGCUCACUGGCCCGGUACUGACGCUGAGAAGCGAAAGCAUGGGGAGCGAACAGG
Molecule: ribosomal RNA, 253 nt
Filed under: uncultured bacterium
Lineage: Bacteria
Description: partial 16S ribosomal RNA
Rfam family: Bacterial small subunit ribosomal RNA
Source: RNAcentral